UACGUAGGUGGCUAGCGUUGUCCGGAUUUACUGGGCGUAAAGAGCGCGCAGGCGGUCGUUCAAGUCGAGUGUGAAAGCCCCCGGCUCAACUGGGGAGGGUCACUCGAUACUGAUCGACUCGAAGGCAGGAGAGGGAAGCGGAAUUCCCGGUGUAGUGGUGAAAUGCGUAGAUAUCGGGAGGAACACCAGUGGCGAAGGCGGCUUUCUGGCCUGCUCUUGACGCUGAGGCGCGAAAGCGUGGGGAGCGAACAGG
RNAcentral lists this ribosomal RNA (253 nucleotides) under uncultured bacterium. Its description in RNAcentral is "partial 16S ribosomal RNA". It matches the Rfam family "Bacterial small subunit ribosomal RNA", at positions 524 to 776 of the family's 1533-position model. The record is from RNAcentral.